Molecule: transfer RNA, 71 nt
Filed under: Ictidomys tridecemlineatus (thirteen-lined ground squirrel)
Lineage: Eukaryota; Metazoa; Chordata; Mammalia; Rodentia; Sciuridae
Description: Spermophilus tridecemlineatus (thirteen-lined ground squirrel) tRNA
Rfam family: tRNA
About the family: Transfer RNA (tRNA) molecules are approximately 80 nucleotides in length.
Source: Rfam by way of RNAcentral
GGGGUUGUGGCUCAGCAGCAGAGCACUUGCCUUGCAUGUAUGAGGCCCUGGGUUCCAUCCUCAGCACCCCA